UACGUAGGGGGCAAGCGUUGUGCGGAUUUAUUGGGCGUAAAGGGCGCGCAGGCGGUCUCUUAAGUCUGAUGUGAAAGCCCACGGCUCAACCGUGGAAGGUCAUUGGAAACUGGGAGACUUGAGUGUAGGAGAGGAAAGUGGAAUUCCACGUGUAGCGGUGAAAUGCGUAGAGAUGUGGAGGAACACCAGUGGCGAAGGCGCCUUUCUGGCCUAUAACUGACGCUGAGGCGCGAAAGCGUGGGGAGCAAACAGG
This 253-nucleotide ribosomal RNA is filed under the name uncultured bacterium. RNAcentral's name for it is "partial 16S ribosomal RNA". It matches the Rfam family "Bacterial small subunit ribosomal RNA", at positions 524 to 776 of the family's 1533-position model. The record is from RNAcentral.